This 231-nucleotide ribosomal RNA is filed under the name uncultured bacterium. Its description in RNAcentral is "partial 16S ribosomal RNA". It matches the Rfam family "Bacterial small subunit ribosomal RNA", at positions 29 to 265 of the family's 1533-position model. The record is from RNAcentral.
AACGAACGCUGGCGGCAUGCCUAACACAUGCAAGUCGAACGCUUCCGGGGGUUUCGGCCUCCGGGGGAGUGGCGCACGGGUGAGUAGCGCGUGGGAACCUGCCCUGUUGUGGGGGAUAACCGAGGGAAACUUCGGCUAAUACCGCAUACGCCCGAGGAGUGAUCUUCGGGGAAAGAUUUAUCGCAGCAGGAGGGGCCCGCGUCGGAUUAGCUGGUUGGUGGGGUAACGCCA